This 142-nucleotide non-coding RNA is filed under the name Heterosigma akashiwo. The record is from RNAcentral. Lineage: Eukaryota; Raphidophyceae; Chattonellales; Chattonellaceae.
AAAAAAAAAAAAAAAAAAAAAAAAAAAACGAAGGAAGGAAGGAAGGAAGGAAGAGUGUUGUUAUGAUUGGUGUUGUGACCUAAAGCAUAAUUAUUUUUUAAACUGCAUUUUUUGCUUUAUUUUUCUUUUAACUACUUCUGUA